Molecule: long non-coding RNA, 253 nt
Organism: Boleophthalmus pectinirostris (great blue-spotted mudskipper)
Lineage: Eukaryota; Metazoa; Chordata; Actinopteri; Gobiiformes; Gobiidae
Exons: 3
Source: RefSeq, a predicted model, not a curated record
GUGGCUCUGUCAGUCCUGUUGUGUGUGUGUGUGCUCGUGAUCAUCGUCCUCUGUGUGAAGAGAGGGAGGCUCUGUGCACACUGCAGAGAUUCUCCUGAUACUGUCAAUAGUUCACACUGUGAGAGUUCAGAAAAUAUGGAUACACAUGCAGAUGUCAACUAUGCAGCGCUGAAUUUCUCCUCCAGAAAAGUGAAUCAGAGACAGAGCAGUAACACAAGAGGAGAGCAGGAGUGUGUGUACUCCAGUGUGAGAG